AAAAAGAAGAAGGGAUUCUUUUUUGACGAACUGCGACGAUCGUCACUGGCCCACCGUUACCCCCGAUCAAGGCUGCCGCGGCGAAAUCGGAGUGCACACCCUGAGACCACCGUCAAUCAAUCGUAGAACUCUCGUCUUCACGGUAUUGAACUCUUUUUUGUUAGUUUUCUGCUAAAUUUAUGUUCUAAAUUUCAGUAUCUACUGGAUUGCAUAUGAUUGCAUUCACAUGAUGCAUGUUUAAUGAAAUUAUACACGUUAGUGUGUUUUGAUGCUACUUCUGGUUUGUUAAUUUCAGGUGACUUGAUUAAAAACUAAUCAAUUCAAUCAAACUGUUUCAUCUUUUCAAUUUAUACAAGGCAUUUGAUACUUCUAUAUAGAGUUAAUUACACCAUCACCCUCUGUGGUAGAGGUCUAAAACACUAUCACUUCUCUAUGCAAGAAAACCGGUCAAAGUGACUGGCGCCACUUUCUACCAUGUGUGUCAAACUCUCGUAUGUGGUGAGUGAAAUAAUGAAAAGAAGUGUGGAAAACUUGCGCCAUAUCUCCAACGUUUGUUCCUACUGUUUAGGAUAAGGAGAUUAUCUAUGCCAAAAAAAUCAUCCCUUUCACAGAUUACCAGAAAAUCAUCACUCUAAUCUAAAAUACAGAAAAGUCAUUUUAAUCGAAACUAAUAUUUUACACCACAUAUAUAAAUAUGUUCUCCAAAUUAUGACCAAAGAACCCCCCAAAACAAAUAUUGAGAGAAGAAAAAGAAGAGAAAUAUUUGCUCCCCAGCUUUAUAUCUGUGGCUGCUUCUGCAUGUUAUUAGAGGUAUUUCUCAGAAUCUCUCAUUCGCUAGAGAUCAUCAUCUUCAUAUGAGGAACUGGUACAUCUCACUCUUGCAUGCACCUCCUAAUUUUAGACAUGCGAUCUAGGAAAAAUUUAAAAAGCCCUAAUUUUAAAUUAUGCAAAAAAUUGAAGAAAUCUAAUAUUUUAUACAUAUAGUUAAGCAAUAUAUUGAAAAUGCCCUAGUUUUCUUCUUCACCUCAAAAUACCACUUUUCUUAUCUAGAAAUUCCUACAAAAUUGUUGUUGUAAUUUAACAUGACGCGUGUUGAAGACAUGCAUCUUCAAAUUUUUUCAACAAAGAGACUGAGAGAUGAGUCAUGAGAAGAACUAAAGACCAAGUAAUCGAUCACGACGAGAUUUGAGUUCAGAAAAUUGAGUGAGACGUGAGAGGGAAAAUUGAGCGAAAGAUGAGAGAGAAUCAAGCAAGAGAUCUGAUUUUCUGUAACUAAUCUUUUUUUGUUUUUUGAAUCUCACAUGCACAUUAAAAGAAGUUGCUUAAAAAUGGUAAAAAAUGGACCGGUCACUUUUGAGUUUUUACUACAGGGGCCAUUAAUGACCAACUUUUUAACACAAGGGGUGAUAGUGUUUUACACCUCUACCAUAGGGAGUGAUGGUGUAUUUAUCCCUUUUGUAUACUAUUGGAAGAUUGGAAAGUUACAAAUAAAUAUAGAAUAUAAGUUAAAUUAAAAAAGAAAAAGCACACUGUAGUUUGUAGUGAACUUAUUCUAGGAUGGACUUAUUAAUGGAUCGAAUGUAACUUCUUAACCAUGAAUCUCAUUCUUUAGAAGAAAUAUUACUAUUAUUGACGGUGCUACCUUCGGGAGUUCUGAUCACGGGUGUAUGUGUUAGGUCCGAUCUACAGGAUGAAGACAACCGAAUUAUCCUUGACGUUUUGUGCCGCCGGAGGAUAGCUUCGGUGAGAGAAUUAGUAUCGAACUUGAGGAAAUAUGUCAACAAUGGAGGUAUGAAUGUUUAAAUAUUGAAUAUAGUGUGUGAAUUUUGGUCAUUUUAUUGGUUGAGAUCCCCAUUCACAUGUAAAGUGUAUCUUUUACUUGAGGGUGAAGUAACUCAGCUCAUCUAAUUGAUUUCUGGUGAGUGGAGAGUGCUCAUGCUUUCAUCAUUGAACUUUUAGGACCACUGAGCACUUCGGACCAGUCCAGGUAUUUCAGUUCGGGUCAUUGGCCAUGUUGGAUCAUACCCGUGAGCCUGUGGGUUUAUAAGGUGUCUUUAGAGAAAGAGUGAUGGUGUUAUUCUUGCCGCUAGCUUUUCGGUUUCCACUUGAUGAAAUUGGUCAUGAUCCCAAGGACUAUGAGCACAUAAGAAUCAUGUGGAACCUCGAAACCUACUUACCUUAAAAUAAGGUUCAGUUGUACUAGUACUCUACACA
Molecule: long non-coding RNA, 2214 nt
Filed under: Panax ginseng (ginseng)
Lineage: Eukaryota; Viridiplantae; Streptophyta; Magnoliopsida; Apiales; Araliaceae
Description: long non-coding RNA (PGIN_LNC006450)
Source: RNAcentral